RNAcentral lists this ribosomal RNA (486 nucleotides) under uncultured bacterium. RNAcentral describes it as "bacterial SSU rRNA". It matches the Rfam family "Bacterial small subunit ribosomal RNA", at positions 8 to 507 of the family's 1533-position model. The record is from RNAcentral.
AGAGUUUGAUCAUGGCUCAGGACGAACGGCUGGCGGCGUGCUUAACACAUGCAAGUCGAGCGGUAAGGCUCCUUCGGGAGUACACGAGCGGCGAACGGGUGAGUAACACGUGAGCAAUCUGCCCUUCACUUUGGGAUAACUCCGGGAAACCGGUGCUAAUACCGAAUGCGACCACUUCAGGCAUCUGACGGUGGUGGAAAGUUCCGGCGGUGAAGGAUGAGCUCGCGGCCUAUCAGCUUGUUGGUGAGGUAAUGGCUCACCAAGGCUUCGACGGGUAGCCGGCCUGAGAGGGUGACCGGCCACACUGGGACUGAGACACGGCCCAGACUCCUACGGGAGGCAGCAGUGGGGAAUAUUGGACAAUGGGCGAAAGCCUGAUCCAGCAACGCCGCGUGAGGGAUGACGGCCUUCGGGUUGUAAACCUCUUUCAGCAGGGACGAAGCGAAAGUGACGGUACCUGCAAAAGAAGCACCGGCCAACUACGUG